Molecule: ribosomal RNA, 267 nt
Filed under: uncultured bacterium
Lineage: Bacteria
Description: partial 16S ribosomal RNA
Rfam family: Bacterial small subunit ribosomal RNA
Source: RNAcentral
ACAGAGGGCUCAAGCGUUAAUCGGAAUCACUGGGCUUAAAGGGUCCGCAGGCGGAUUGGAAAGUAUCUUGUGAAAUACCACGGCUCAACCGUGGAACUGCUCGGUAAACUUCCAAUCUUGACACGGAGGCAGGCUCGGAACUCUAGGUGGAGCGGUGAAAUGCGUAGAUAUCUAGAGGAACGCCAGAGGCGAAGGCGGAUGGCUGGGCCGUUGUUGACGCUCAGGGACGAAAGCAUGGGUAGCGAACGGGAUUAGAUACCCCGAGUC